This 76-nucleotide transfer RNA is filed under the name Faecalibacterium prausnitzii. RNAcentral's name for it is "tRNA-Met". It matches the Rfam family "tRNA". Rfam says of the family: Transfer RNA (tRNA) molecules are approximately 80 nucleotides in length. Their secondary structure includes four short double-helical elements and three loops (D, anti-codon, and T loops). The record is from RNAcentral. Lineage: Bacteria; Bacillati; Bacillota; Clostridia; Eubacteriales; Oscillospiraceae. RNAcentral also lists the same sequence under 15 other names.
GGGCCAUUAGCUUAACGGUUAAAGCCGGCGGCUCAUAACCGCUCCAGUGGGGGUUCGAAUCCCUCAUGGCCCACCA